RNAcentral lists this ribosomal RNA (449 nucleotides) under uncultured bacterium. RNAcentral's name for it is "partial 16S ribosomal RNA". It matches the Rfam family "Bacterial small subunit ribosomal RNA", at positions 29 to 523 of the family's 1533-position model. The record is from RNAcentral.
AACGAACGCUGGCGGCAUGCCUAACACAUGCAAGUCGAACGAGACCUUCGGGUCUAGCGGCGCACGGGUGCGUAACGCGUGGGAAUCUACCCUUGGGUUCGGAAUAACAGUUAGAAAUGACUGCUAAUACCGGAUGAUGACGUAAGUCCAAAGAUUUAUCGCCCAAGGAUGAGCCCGCGUAAGAUUAGCUUGUUGGUGGGGUAAUGGCCUACCAAGGCGACGAUCUUUAGCUGGUCUGAGAGGAUGAUCAGCCACACUGGGACUGAGACACGGCCCAGACUCCUACGGGAGGCAGCAGUGGGGAAUAUUGGACAAUGGGCGAAAGCCUGAUCCAGCAAUGCCGCGUGAGUGAUGAAGGCCUUAGGGUUGUAAAGCUCUUUUACCAGGGAUGAUAAUGACAGUACCUGGAGAAUAAGCUCCGGCUAACUCCGUGCCAGCCGCCGCAGUAA